This is a long non-coding RNA of Vitis riparia (riverbank grape), 4605 nucleotides long. RefSeq lists it as uncharacterized. NCBI's taxonomy places the organism in Eukaryota, Viridiplantae, Streptophyta, Magnoliopsida, Vitales, Vitaceae. The record is from RefSeq and is a predicted model, not a curated record. The transcript is spliced from 12 exons.
CAACAGGAAGCCUUUCUGCAGGUGGUUGGAAUCCUUGCUACAGUCUUCUUUACCUUGUCUUGAGGAACUAAUUCUGGGUGGAGUUCUUGAGGAGACACUAUGGCGAAUAAUUUUGGUCUCUUCUUCAUUAAAGUUUCUGCUUCAUUGAAGUCUCUGCAUAUUUUACGCAUAAAUGAUCUGGUAUCUCUGCCAGAUAAUCGACUACAACACCUCACUUCUCUCAAGUUUUUGGAAAUUAGGUAUUGUGAUGGACUAAUGUCUCUGUUUCAAGGGAUUCAACAUCUCGGCGCCCUUGAGGUGUUACAAAUUUAUCACUGCAUCCAGCUCAACUUGUCAGAUGAAGAGGAUGAUGAUGGUGGCUUGCAAUUUCAAGGCCUUAGAAGCUUGCGUAAACUAUUUAUUGUAGGAAUUCCAAAACUGGUGUCUCUUCCAAAGGGGCUUCAACAUGUUACCACACUGGAAACUCUCUCAAUUGCUGAUUGUGAGGAUUUCACCACUUUACCAGACUGGAUAAGCAGCCUAACUUCCCUUUCAAAGCUGAAGAUUUUGUGGUGCCCUAGAUUCAAGCUUGAAGAUCGGUCCAAGAUUGCUCAUAUUCCAACAAUUGACAUCUUCUAAGAUAUAUGUCAGGGAUUCAUCCAUUCAGCCCCUCGUCAUUGUUGUAAUCUUCAAUUGUUCGCUCUUGUGAGGAAGAUGCCAUAAAGAAAUGCAUGCAGAUUGGCCUAAGAUUGCUCCUGUCCUAACAACUCUUAUUGACAUUCUAUCAUGCACUGCUGGAUGAAGGAAUUCUGCUCCGUUUGGUUCAAGCAUGCCAUCCAUGCAUAAUUUUCAGAUGUAAUUACUAUCAAGUCAAAGUAAAAGGUAUAAUGGUGGGGUUGAACAAUUCUCCCAAGUAUGUCUAAAGUUAAAGGUGAAGAUUGGGUCAAUAUCUCUCAUGUUCUUGAAAUUGAUAUUGAAUACCAAUAAAUGCAGUAUUCAUGAAGGACAACUCUUUUAUUCUAGCAUGCCACAUGAUAGGUCUCAGAGGAGGGGUUGAAACAAGGAGAAUUAUUAGAGAAUCAUUCGUCUUAUUCCUACCUUGAUGGAAAAUCUUAAAAGUUUGAAAAACUUGAACAAAUGGUGGAGGGGCUAGUGCACUGCCAGAACAACAACAAUGACCUUCAUUCCUGCCAUGAUUUCAUUUUCUUUCUAUACUGCCUGAGCUGACAUCCAUGUCAUUGCAUGAGUGUCUUGAGGAUCAACGGUAUCUUUACUCCCUUCUUGCAUGCUGUUAAAGUUUAUGCACAUUGAAGGUGUAAAAGGAUCUGACAUCUGUUUUAGAAAAAAGGCAGUAAUACCUCACUUCUCUCUUGAUUUUUGAUAGCAUCCAGUUCGUAGGACUUGAGAGAUUGUGCUAAAUAUGUAUUCACCUUAUGCAAGAAUACAUGAAAGGGUCUUCAUCAGCAAUGCGAUUCUUCUCUUCUUUUAAAGGACUCCAAAUCUUUUAGUUCCUGAAUUGGAAGGGUGGUGGAGGAGAGACAUAGCAAUAGAACAGGGUUUUACAUUUCCUUGUCUUUCAGAAUCAAAGAUCAAUGAUUGCCAUAAUUUGACAUCCUUCGCAAUGUCUUGAUCAUCUUAUUCUCUUUCUCAUUUAGAUUGGCAUCCUUGUGAUGUCAAUAAGGAGCUAUUGUGGUAGAUAAUGUUUGCCUCUUCUUCAUUAAAGAUGUUGGAUGUUUGUAGAAGAGGUGAUCAGAUAUCUCUGCUUGACGAGCGAAACCAUUUUUCAAUCAUGGAUUAUCAUGGUCUAACAUUUUUCUGUCAUGGGAUUCAAUAUCUCACUGCACUUGAUCUUGAAUACUCCAAACUUCAGGAAGCUUGGUUUUUUAGACAAGGAGGAUGAUGAUGACACUGUCCAUCAAUUUCAAGGUCUUAUAAGCUUACGCGCAAUUCCAAGAAGUUGUAUCAAUUCCAAAGUUCAUUUGUCUCCCAAGGGGGCCACAACAUGUUACCACUCUAGAAACUCUCACAAUUGGUAACUGUUCUGGUCUAGUUGCCAAAGUAAAUAGGUAAAGACUGGCUUAAGAUUUCUCAUAUUCUUAAAUGUGAUGUUAAGGAGCCAUCACAAGAUGAUAGUGAGGAGCCAUUAGAAGGUAUGCCUGCUCUUCAAUGGUGUCAUCCACAAUAUAUUUCAGUAAAACGACAGCAUACCACUUGAGCAAGGAGCAAAUUUUACUGAAUCGAUUUAAUAGCCAGUCAAUUCUCCUCUCUCAAGUCUUUGGAUCUUGGGAAUCUAUAUGUUUUGGAGCACAUGGAUAACAGGAUCGUAUUUUCUUCAUUUUCAUUAAGAGGCAAUAUGGUUUAGGAAGAACAGCAAACAAGAAGAAUUUGUAGGACCAUUCCUGUCAUGAUGGAGAAACUUCAAGACAUGGCUGAAGGGUAGUAUCACUGGUAGAGCAUGUAACAACACCAAGAUUCGGAUUUUCAAAAUGGUAGAGAAUAUGCUUCAUCCGAGAGGUUGUUGUAUGUCUAAUAUGAUUGAAGAUGCUUGAAAAGGUGAAUUAUAGGUGUCCACAAGUUUGAUCAAUGCCUCUGGAAGAGUUUGUUCCACUUGAAUAUCGCCUCAUGUUGGAUGUGACUGAGUCAAGCUCACUCAUUUUACCAAGUUGACUCGUUCACCACCCUCCUCCUCCUAUCCUUGACACCAGAAGCACUGCCCACACCUCCAUGGUUUGAUUGUGAAUGAUGAAGAUUUGAAAUAGUAGGUGAAGUAUCAACGUAAAUGUUUCAUGGAUUUUAUUUUCUCAAAAUACAAUAUUCUGAUUAUCUGAUGAUGUAUAUAUAUGAUGAUAGAAAGGAAUUCUGAAAUCCCUAGAUUAUCUGAAGAAAAUCAUAUGCAAAACUCACACGCUUCAUGGUGUUGAGAUUCCCUUUUGAAAUAUUGAAGGAAAAUUUCAUCAUCAUCAUUCAUUUGCGUUGGUGUUGGUGUGAGGACUCUUCUUUAUUUCUUGUAUAGUAUUAAUGCUGAGUAGAAAAUUGUUGUACUUUAAUUUGAGCUCUCAUGUUUUAUUCUCAUGUAGAGUAGAACCUGAACGACAAUGUACCACUUGAGCAAGGAACAUAUAUUAUGAGGCAAUUUGGUUUUGGAUAGAAGUCAAGACCAUGAGAACUAGAAAGACAGUCCUUCCCAUUCUUAAAAGUACACAAAAUAAAAAAGGAUGGAUAGAAGGGGGUAGUGGGUGUAGUAGAGCAGAGCAACAACAACAACAUUCAUUCUCCCUAAGUUGACAUCCAUGCCAUUGCAUCUGUAUAUGGAGGAUCUAGAUCUGUAUGAUACAACAAUAUUUUCUUCAUUUGCAUUCUUUUGUUAGAUUAUGAGGAUGCAGUUCACAUGCAAUUCCAAGGACUUGAGAGGUUGUUCCAAAUAUGGAUUCUUCUUAUGCAAGGUUGAUUUCUCCCCCUAAGACUUAUAGUCUGGUGUUACACUAGAAAAUCUAACACUUUGGGAUUGUGUUUCAGUAUAUACAGGGUAGAUAAUUCACAUCACAGGGCUUCUUGUUGUUCGUUUCCAAGUUUGAAAUCUCUGCCUGAAGGGAUACCAAAAGGACGCAACCUUAGACUGGCCUAAUAACUUCUAAUGUCCCAAUGACUCAUAUCUACUAGUCACAGAUGGCUAAUUUGUGAAAGACCUCUCUUUUAAUUCAAGUGCACUAUCCACGGCAUAUUUCAAGUUUGCAAUGCCAAUUUCUUUUCCUGAUUUUGAUGUUUGCUUAAUUUCUUUUUUUAUAAUUAAUCUGCUCUAUUUCUUAAUUUAAUAUUCAGGUUUGUUGUUCUAACCUUUUGCCACUUUCCAAAAUGUCUUUAUAGCUUAUUACUUGGCAACCAAAUUGGUAAAAACUAUUAGGCCCAGAUUUUAAUUCUUGUACUUUGGUUCUUCUAGGUAAUAGAACAACAACAUAUUGAAGUGAAUAAGCCAGCAGAUCUUCAGCUUACUUGAUAAUGUUCCUAUACGUAUGCUGGUGAAUCCAAUCUUUGUAGAGUGUUUUCUUUGGAGUUCUCUUUGUCAAGGAGAGAGUAGCAACAACUUGAACAAAGGUACAUAUUAUUGAAUCGCUUUAAUAUUGUGGUUAGCUCUCUACUCCAUCUUGGGCAUCUAAAUGCCUUAGAGUGAAUGGCCAAUAGUGAUGGUGCUUCUUCUUCAUUUUCAUUGAAAGGCAAUUUAGUUUGGGAGUGGGAGAAAAUAAGGAGAAUUUUUCAGAUGAGUUCUUCCUAUUCUGGAAAGUGCACUAACUCAAAAGUUGAAGAAACUCAGAGGGCCACAGUAGAGCUAUAGCAACAAGACUCAUUCCUGCCACAAUCUCUCUCUCUCUCUUUUUGCUCCUGCCAUAAACUCAUAGAUUUGUAUAAUUGAAGAGUGACUUAUUUGUUUUCAUUCUCCUUCCCACUUUCCCCAUUGAAGUUUUAUGUUGUUUCUUUUUUCAAGUAAUUAUUUAUUUAUUUUUUUUCGUGGAGAGCUGUUGGAUCUUCUCACAUGCCAUAGAAGUAGGUUUGGCUUUGAAACAGAAGCAACUGAUAUCCUAUUUAGGCAUCUCAUCUACUACAAAAUGUUAUUCAGAUGUUUGUUUCUCA